This 574-nucleotide small RNA is filed under the name Pongo abelii (Sumatran orangutan). RNAcentral describes it as "retained intron". The record is from RNAcentral. Lineage: Eukaryota; Metazoa; Chordata; Mammalia; Primates; Hominidae.
CAGCCUCCCAAAGUGAAAUGCCUGACCAAGAUCUGGCACCCCAACAUCACAGAGACAGGGGAAAUAUGUCUGAGUUUACUGAGAGAACAUUCAAUUGAUGGCACUGGCUGGGCUCCCACAAGAACAUUAAAGGAUGUCGUUUGGGGAUUAAACUCUUUGUUUACUGUAAGUACAGUGAUCAAAAUCCCAAGUUAUUCUCAGUUUCCUUGUUGCUGGUUUUAGACAUUGCGUUAAGGUUAACACAAAACCAUGUUAAAAAAUGAAACAUGGACUGGGCACAGUGGCUCACGCCUGUAAUCCUAGCACUUUGGGCGGAUCCCCACUUGAGUCCAGGAGGCCCAAACCCCAUCUCUACAAAAAAUAGAAAAAUUAGUUGGGCAUAGUGGCACACGUCUGUAGUCCCAGCUGCUUGGAAGGCUGAGUUGGGAGAAUUGCUUGAGCCCAGGAGGCAGAGGUUGCAGUGAGCUGAGAUUGCACCACUGUACUCCAGCCUGGGUGACAGAGACUCUGCCUCAAAAAACAGAUACACACAAAACCCCCCCAAAAAACAUGCUGGCUGGGCAUGGUGGCUCAC